This 165-nucleotide RNase P RNA is filed under the name Gammaproteobacteria bacterium. Its description in RNAcentral is "partial RNase P RNA component class A". It matches the Rfam family "Bacterial RNase P class A", at positions 1 to 185 of the family's 367-position model. From Rfam's summary of the family: Ribonuclease P (RNase P) is a ubiquitous endoribonuclease, found in archaea, bacteria and eukarya as well as chloroplasts and mitochondria. Lineage: Bacteria; Pseudomonadati; Pseudomonadota; Gammaproteobacteria. The record is from RNAcentral.
UGAGUUGGUCGAGCUAUCGCUUAAUUUAUUAAGAGGAAAGUCCGGACUUCAAAGAGUAAAGUGCCAGUUAACGACUGGGGGACGUGAGUCUACGGCUAGUGCCACAGAAAAUAUACCGCCAUUUAUGGUAAGGGUGAAAAGGUAAGGUAAGAGCUUACCGCCUAA